This 497-nucleotide ribosomal RNA is filed under the name uncultured bacterium. RNAcentral describes it as "partial 16S ribosomal RNA". It matches the Rfam family "Bacterial small subunit ribosomal RNA", at positions 28 to 507 of the family's 1533-position model. The record is from RNAcentral.
GAUGAACGCUGGCGGCGUGCCUAAUACAUGCAAGUCGAACGCAUAGCGAAAGGUGCUUGCACCUUUCAAGUGAGUGGCGAACGGGUGAGUAACACGUGGACAACCUGCCUCAAGGCUGGGGAUAACAUUUGGAAACAGAUGCUAAUACCGAAUAAAACUUAGUGUCGCAUGACACAAAGUUAAAAGGCGCUUCGGCGUCACCUAGAGAUGGAUCCGCGGUGCAUUAGUUAGUUGGUGGGGUAAAGGCCUACCAAGACAAUGAUGCAUAGCCGAGUUGAGAGGACGAUUGGCCACCAUUGGAAUGAGAACCGGCCCCAAACCCUAAGGGAGGCCGCAGGAGGGAAUUUUCCACAAUGGGCGAAAGCCUGAUGGAGCAAAGGCGGGGGUUUGAUGAAGGCUUUUGGGUCGUAAAGCACUGUUGUAUGGGAAGAACAGCUAGAAUAGGAAAUGAUUUUAGUUUGACGGUACCAUACCAGAAAGGGACGGCUAAAUACGUG